Molecule: ribosomal RNA, 424 nt
Filed under: uncultured Clostridium sp.
Lineage: Bacteria; Bacillati; Bacillota; Clostridia; Eubacteriales; Clostridiaceae
Description: bacterial SSU rRNA
Rfam family: Bacterial small subunit ribosomal RNA
Source: RNAcentral
GGGGGAAUAUUGGGCAAUGGGCGAAAGCCUGACCCAGCAACGCCGCGUGAAGGAAGAAGGCCUUCGGGUUGUAAACUUCUUUUAAGAGGGACGAAGAAGUGACGGUACCUCUUGAAUAAGCCACGGCUAACUACGUGCCAGCAGCCGCGGUAAUACGUAGGUGGCGAGCGUUAUCCGGAUUUACUGGGUGUAAAGGGCGCGUAGGCGGGAAUGCAAGUCAGAUGUGAAAUCCAAGGGCUCAACCCUUGAACUGCAUUUGAAACUGUUGAUCUUGAGUAUCGGAGAGGCAAUCGGAAUUCCUAGUGUAGCGGUGAAAUGCGUAGAUAUUAGGAGGAACACCAGUGGCGAAGGCGGAUUGCUGGACGACAACUGACGGUGAGGCGCGAAAGCGUGGGGAGCAAACAGGAUUAGAUACCCUGGUAGU